CGCGCAGGCGGGUUAGCUAGUCAGUGGUGAAAUCCUACAGCUUAACUGUAGAACUGCCUUUGAUACUGCUAAUCUUGAGUAUGGAAGAGAGAGACGGAAUUCCAGGUGUAGUGGUGAAAUACGUAGAUAUCUGGAAGAACACCAGUUGCGAAGGCGGUCUCUUGGUCCAAUACUGACGCUGAGGCGCGAAAGCGUGGGGAGCAAACA
Molecule: ribosomal RNA, 207 nt
Filed under: uncultured bacterium
Lineage: Bacteria
Description: partial 16S ribosomal RNA
Rfam family: Bacterial small subunit ribosomal RNA
Source: RNAcentral